AGUGAACGCUGGCGGUAGGCCUAACACAUGCAAGUCGAACGGCAGCACAGGAGAGCUUGCUCUCUGGGUGGCGAGUGGCGGACGGGUGAGGAAUACAUCGGAAUCUACUCUGUCGGGGGGGAUAACGUAGGGAAACUUACGCUAAUACCGCAUACGACCUACGGGUGAAAGCAGGGGACCUUCGGGCCUUGCGCGAUUGAAUGAGCCGAUGUCGGAUUAGCUAGUUGGCGGGGUAAAGGCCCACCAAGGCGACGAUCCGUAGCUGGUCUGAGAGAAUGAUCAGCCACACUGGAACGGAGACACGGUCCAGACUCCUACGGGAGGCAGCAGUGGGGAAUAUUGGACAAGGGGCGCAAGCCUGAUCCAGCCAUACCGCGUGGGUGAAGAAGGCCUUCGGGUUGUAAAGCCCUUUUGUUGGGAAAGAAAUCCAGCUGGCUAAUACCCGGUUGGGAUGACGGUACCCAAAGAAUAAGCACCGGCUAACUUCGUGCCAGCCGCCGCAGUAA
RNAcentral lists this ribosomal RNA (506 nucleotides) under uncultured bacterium. Its description in RNAcentral is "partial 16S ribosomal RNA". It matches the Rfam family "Bacterial small subunit ribosomal RNA", at positions 29 to 523 of the family's 1533-position model. The record is from RNAcentral.